Cyprinus carpio (common carp) is the source of this 337-nucleotide long non-coding RNA. The record is from Ensembl. NCBI's taxonomy places the organism in Eukaryota, Metazoa, Chordata, Actinopteri, Cypriniformes, Cyprinidae.
CAGCGUGAAGAACCACGUCAGUCACGCACAGAAGAACAUUAGACUCAAACCCUGUCCUGGACCAACUACUGCAGCUGUGACCUUUAGUUUGACCUCUACGUCGACACAGACAUCAGAAUAUGGUACGAGUUUCUCAUCAGCUGAUAUGAAUGUCACCUACACAACUGCAUUUUCUUCCAGGAUGUAUGAGUGCUGAGCUACAACACAUAAUGUAAAUAACGAUGAAAUCUAAUAAUAAUGAUGGCAGCGAGGGAUCUAUAGGAUCUAUUAUUUGUUUUCUUUCCUGAAAUUAAAAUACCAUAAUAAACAAAAUAUGCGAUUGGUUUUUAAAAAUCCA